AAGGUAAUGGUACAUUAAUCAGUUGG
RNAcentral lists this non-coding RNA (26 nucleotides) under Rattus norvegicus (Norway rat). The record is from RNAcentral. Lineage: Eukaryota; Metazoa; Chordata; Mammalia; Rodentia; Muridae.